AGACCCCCUUAUCGUCCCCACCUUCUUCUCUUCCUCGAUAACUUGUUGUACUUCUCCAUCGCUUCUUCCCCCGGGAAGAAAGGAACCGCCAUGGCGGAGGAGUGCUGCAGCGCGGACCUGCUGGAGUGGAUCGGCCCUGACGUCUCAGCAUGCGUCUUCGGCCGCCUUGACCACCCCGCCGACCUCGUCCGCGCCGCCGCUGUCUCCAGAACCUGGCGCAGAUGCGUGGUCGAGAGCGGCUUGAGCAAGAGCCUUUGCCUGCGGCUGUGCCCCGAGGUCGCCACCGUCGCCGCGGCGGCAGAGGUGGCCAGAUCGCCGCCUUCAACCGCCGCCCAUGAAUCAGGCCACGAGAGGGACUACAGGAUAUACUCCAACCUCGCCGGCGCCUACGUCUCCGACUCCGCCGCCAAGCCCUCCGCGGAAUGCAUCUUGGACUGCAUCGGGGCCUCCAGCACCGACGACUUCCCAGCAGAGACCAUGGAAAACACCCUCGACGAGGAGGAGAUUAUCAAUUUCCGCCCGUCCUAUUGGUCGAGCGGCGGGGCGGACGACCCGGAGGCGCCGGAGAGCCUUACCUACAGGCUCAACUCUGACAUCUGCAUUGUCGAUGAGAUUCGGGUGCGGCCGUACCAAGCCUUUUUUCAGGAUGGUGACCCUAUAUACUCUUCAAAGGUGGUGCGAUUUCGGAUGGGCCAUUACAAGCUUCCGCGAGGAUCAGAGACGUUUGUAAUGGAUGAUUAUGAGAAUAAGAUGGUAAAUGCUGAUGAAAAAUACAUGUGGACUUACACUUCGCCAGAGUUCCCUAUGUUACAGAAAAACGAACUACAAUCCUUCAAGCUCCCACGCCCCGUCCUUUGCAUUGGUGGUGUGGUGAUGAUUGAACUCUUGGGCAGAGUACAGAAACAAGAAGCAGAUGAUAGGUACUACAUAUGCGUUUGCCAUGCUGAAGUGAUGGGGCGUUCACUCUCACCACUUUUCAUGGUUGAAAUCUCGGAUCCUGAAGGUUAUUCAAUCCUCAAGUACUUACCGGGUGCCAAAGACCUAUCCAUCGAUGACUUUUUGCAAGAUGAUACCAAAGACUCGCCGGAGUGGCACUAUCUUGUUGGUAGAUACAGGCAGAUGAAUCACAGAGCAGUAGUAGUGAGUGCACUUUUGGAGCCUGUACAUUACAUGCAUGAUGUAGGUGGCAUCUCAGACGAUGAUCAUGAAGAUGAUGUAGGUGGCAUCUCAGACGAUGAUCAUGAGGAUGAUGUAGGUGGCAUCUCAGACGAUGAUUAUCUUGAGUAGAUUUGCGUGCUGGACUGCAGCUACAACUCUGCCGUGGUUUUACUCUUUGUAGUUUAGCGAACACCUCUGAACUCUGCAAGCCUUUGUUGCAAACAUUUCUGAAGCCUCGGUUCUUGAACCUAGAGGACCUGAUCCAGACAAGUUGCUCUUACGGUCUGCAACUCUGCUCAAGCUUGCUCGUGUUUUCUCUUGUGUUUUUGUUUAGUGACUUACUGUAUAUAUAUGCUGAAUGCAUUCUAAUCGUCGUGGAGUUGCAUCUCCAGCAUUGAGCGUUUACCCUUUGAGCUUGCCUGGGACUCAGGCUUAUGGAACCUUUGGGGACUACCGGGUGGAACCUUGAUGUGUUGAUGUGACCGCAAGACCAUGGCAUCUGAGAAGCAUGGGUCAUUAUGCCAUCAAUCACCAUGUUGGUAUCCUGAGGAAAAUAACUCGCAUGGCCACUAUCUAUCACACAAGGAUAUCCUUUUAUCCGAGUAUGAACCAGGGAAGUGCUCCAUCACAUUUAUGCUUCAUCAUGGACGGCCCAAACUGAAGCUUUCUUCAUACAUGAGACGGAUAUUUCCUUCUAUAACUUCUCCAUAUCAUCUUUCCCCAAAAAAUAAGGUUAGUUUCUUAGUGAAGAGUCACUGUCUCAUAUGCAUACUACAGAUAAAUGUGGCGCCAGUUUGCCUUGAAAGUAUCACCUUCAUCUUCUCUGAAUUAGUCCUGGCUCUGGCCGCCGAACAUUUGCAUUAUCAUGCUGUGAGGCGUAAACCUGGAAAUGCUGGUGUUUGUUGUUCUUCAGGCAUAGUUUAACCAGAGAUAUCAUUAGCAUUUCA
Molecule: RNA transcript, 2105 nt
Organism: Triticum urartu
Lineage: Eukaryota; Viridiplantae; Streptophyta; Magnoliopsida; Poales; Poaceae
Gene name: F-box protein At4g00755
Source: RefSeq, a predicted model, not a curated record